Molecule: ribosomal RNA, 464 nt
Filed under: Vreelandella stevensii
Lineage: Bacteria; Pseudomonadati; Pseudomonadota; Gammaproteobacteria; Oceanospirillales; Halomonadaceae
Description: partial 16S ribosomal RNA
Rfam family: Bacterial small subunit ribosomal RNA
Source: RNAcentral
CUACGGGGGUCUGCAGUGGGGAAUAUUGGACAAUGGGCGAAAGCCUGAUCCAGCCAUGCCGCGUGUGUGAAGAAGGCCUUCGGGUUGUAAAGCACUUUCAGUGGGGAAGAAAGCCUUGGGGCUAAUACCCUCGAGGAAGGACAUCACCCACAGAAGAAGCACCGGCUAACUCCGUGCCAGCAGCCGCGGUAAUACGGAGGGUGCGAGCGUUAAUCGGAAUUACUGGGCGUAAAGCGCGCGUAGGCGGUCUGAUAAGCCGGUUGUGAAAGCCCCGGGCUCAACCUGGGAACGGCAUCCGGAACUGUCAGGCUAGAGUGCAGGAGAGGAAGGUAGAAUUCCCGGUGUAGCGGUGAAAUGCGUAGAGAUCGGGAGGAAUACCAGUGGCGAAGGCGGCCUUCUGGACUGACACUGACGCUGAGGUGCGAAAGCGUGGGUAGCAAACAGGAUUAGAUACCCCGGUAGUC